Molecule: transfer RNA, 85 nt
Filed under: Felis catus (domestic cat)
Lineage: Eukaryota; Metazoa; Chordata; Mammalia; Carnivora; Felidae
Rfam family: tRNA
About the family: Transfer RNA (tRNA) molecules are approximately 80 nucleotides in length.
Source: Rfam by way of RNAcentral
GCCUGGGUGGCUCAGUUGGUUGGGCGUCUGACUUCGGCUCAGGUCAUGAUCUCACAGCUCGUGAGUUCGAGCCCCACAUCGGGCU